RNAcentral lists this ribosomal RNA (501 nucleotides) under uncultured bacterium. Its description in RNAcentral is "partial 16S ribosomal RNA". It matches the Rfam family "Bacterial small subunit ribosomal RNA", at positions 29 to 523 of the family's 1533-position model. The record is from RNAcentral.
AUUGAACGCUGGCGGCAUGCCUUACACAUGCAAGUCGAACGGCAGCACGGGUGCUUGCACCUGGUGGCGAGUGGCGAACGGGUGAGUAAUACAUCGGAACGUACCUUAUCGUGGGGGAUAACGCAGCGAAAGCUGUGCUAAUACCGCAUACGCCCUGAGGGGGAAAGCGGGGGAUCGAAAGACCUCGCGCGAUUAGAGCGGCCGAUGCCUGAUUAGCUUGUUGGUGGGGUAAAAGCCCACCAAGGCGACGAUCAGUAGCUGGUCUGAGAGGACGAUCAGCCACACUGGGACUGAGACACGGCCCAGACUCCUACGGGAGGCAGCAGUGGGGAAUUUUGGACAAUGGGGGCAACCCUGAUCCAGCAAUGCCGCGUGAGUGAAGAAGGCCUUCGGGUUGUAAAGCUCUUUUGUCAGGGAAGAAACACCGGCUCUAACACAGUCCGGGAAUGACGGUACCUGAAGAAUAAGCACCGGCUAACUACGUGCCAGCCGCCGCCGCAG